RNAcentral lists this ribosomal RNA (254 nucleotides) under uncultured bacterium. RNAcentral describes it as "partial 16S ribosomal RNA". It matches the Rfam family "Bacterial small subunit ribosomal RNA", at positions 524 to 776 of the family's 1533-position model. The record is from RNAcentral.
GACAGAGGAGCCAAGCGUUGUCCGGAUUGACUGGGCGUAAAGCGCACGCAGGCGGCUCAGCGCGUGGGGUGUGAAAGGUGGCGGCUCAACUGCCACACGCCAUCCCCAUACGGCUGGGCUCGAGCCAUGCAGAGGUCCACGGAAUUGCCGGUGUAGUGGUGAAAUGCGUAGAUAUCAGGAGGAAUACCGGUGGUGUAGACGGCUCUCUGGACCGCCACUGACGCUGAGACACGAAAGCGUGGGUAGCAAACAGG